CUUGGUCAUUUAGAGGAAGUAAAAGUCGUAACAAGGUUUCCGUAGGUGAACCUGCGGAAGGAUCAUUCAUAAUAAAGUGUUUUAUGGCACUUUUUUAAAAAAUCCAUAUCCACCUUGUGUGCAAUGUUUUUUAGAUCUAGCCAAAAUGAUAUUUUGGUUAGGUUUUAUUAUAUUACAUCAACUCUUAUUUAACUUGAUUUGUCUGAAAAAUAUUAUGAAUUUUUUAACUUAAUUCAAAAUACAACUUUCAACAACGGAUCUCUUGGCUCUCGCAUCGAUGAAGAACGCAGCGAAAUGCGAUACGUAAUGUGAAUUGCAGAAUUCAGUGAAUCAUCGAAUCUUUGAACGCAUAUUGCGCUCUCUGGUAUUCCGGAGAGCAUGCUUGUUUGAGUAUCAGUAAACACCUCAAUUUCAUGAUUCUUAAUUUUGAAAUUGGACUUGAGCAGAUCCCAACGUACAUUUAAUUAUAUGGAGGGUUGCUUCAAAUGCAGGUGCAGCCGAUCAUUCUUCUGGGCUAAAAGCAUUAUCUAGUUAAUCCCGUAAAACGGAUUAUUCACUUUAUUGCUGCAGCUUACCUUUAUAAAAGGAAGAAAUGGCCAUUGUGCUGACUGAUGCAGGAAUUCUCAGAGGUCUGUAAGGACUUUUGAAAACUCGAUCUCAAAUCAAGUAAGACUACCCGCUGAACUUAAGCAUAUCAAUAAGCGGAGGA
RNAcentral lists this ribosomal RNA (709 nucleotides) under uncultured fungus. RNAcentral describes it as "eukaryotic LSU rRNA". The stretch from base 243 to 396 matches the Rfam family "5.8S ribosomal RNA". The record is from RNAcentral. Lineage: Eukaryota; Fungi.